GGUUGUGGCUCAGUGGUAAAGUGCUUGUCUCUCAUGCAUGAGGCACUGGGUUCGAUAUUAAGCACCA
Molecule: transfer RNA, 67 nt
Filed under: Marmota monax (woodchuck)
Lineage: Eukaryota; Metazoa; Chordata; Mammalia; Rodentia; Sciuridae
Description: tRNA.Glu
Source: RNAcentral